ACUGGUGUAGCUCAGUGGUAGAGCGAAGUCUUGAUAAGGCUUGGGUCGUUGGUUCAAUCCCAACCACCAGUA
This 72-nucleotide transfer RNA is filed under the name Klebsiella pneumoniae. RNAcentral describes it as "tRNA-Ile". It matches the Rfam family "tRNA". Rfam says of the family: Transfer RNA (tRNA) molecules are approximately 80 nucleotides in length. RNAcentral also lists the same sequence under 2 other names. The record is from RNAcentral. Lineage: Bacteria; Pseudomonadati; Pseudomonadota; Gammaproteobacteria; Enterobacterales; Enterobacteriaceae.